AGCAGCGUGGCUUAGUGGAAAGAGCAAGGGCUUUGGAGUCAGAGGUCAUGGGCUCUAAUCCCAUCUCUGCCA
This 72-nucleotide transfer RNA is filed under the name Ornithorhynchus anatinus (platypus). It matches the Rfam family "tRNA". Rfam says of the family: Transfer RNA (tRNA) molecules are approximately 80 nucleotides in length. Their secondary structure includes four short double-helical elements and three loops (D, anti-codon, and T loops). Further hydrogen bonds mediate the characteristic L-shaped molecular structure. tRNAs have two regions of fundamental functional importance: the anti-codon, which is responsible for specific mRNA codon recognition, and the 3' end, to which the tRNAs corresponding amino acid is attached (by aminoacyl-tRNA synthetases). tRNAs cope with the degeneracy of the genetic code in two manners: having more than one tRNA (with a specific anti-codon) for a particular amino acid; and 'wobble' base-pairing, i.e. permitting non-standard base-pairing at the 3rd anti-codon position. The record is from Rfam by way of RNAcentral. Lineage: Eukaryota; Metazoa; Chordata; Mammalia; Monotremata; Ornithorhynchidae.